GUGUGUGCGAGAGAACUCUCGUUAAGGAACUCGGCAAAAUGACCCCGUAACUUCGGGAGAAGGGGUGCUGACCGCAAGGUCAGCCGCAGUGAAUAGGCCCAAGCGACUGUUUAUCAAAAACACAGGUCUCUGCAAAAUCGAAAGAUGACGUAUAGGGGCUGACGCCUGCCCGGUGCUGGAAGGUUAAGAGGAGAGGUUAGCGCAAGCGAAGCUUUGAAUUGAAGCCCCAGUAAACGGCGGCCGUAACAAUAACGGUCCUAAGGUAGCGAAAUUCCUUGUCGGGUAAGUUCCGACCCGCACGAAAGGCGUAACGAUUUGGGCACUGUCUCAACGAGAGACUCGGUGAAAUUAUAGUACCAGUGAAGAUGCUGGUUACCCGCGACAGGACGGAAAGACCCCAUGGAGCUUUACUGCAGUUUGAUAUUGCGUGUUUGUAUCACAUGUACAGGAUAGGUAGGAGCCGAAGAUACCGGGACGCCAGUCUCGGAGGAGGCAACGGUGGGAUACUACCCUUGUGAUAUGACCACUCUAACCCGCUGCUCUUAGCGAGCAGGGAGACAGUGUCAGACGGGCAGUUUGACUGGGGCGGUCGCCUCCAAAAAUGUAACGGAGGCGCCCAAAGGUUCCCUCAGAAUGGUUGGAAAUCAUUCGUAGAGUGUAAAGGCAGAAGGGAGCUUGACUGCGAGACCUACAAGUCGAGCAGGGACGAAAGUCGGGCUUAGUGAUCCGGUGGUUCCGCAUGGAAGGGCCAUCGCUCAACGGAUAAAAGCUACCCUGGGGAUAACAGGCUUAUCUCCCCCAAGAGUUCACAUCGACGGGGAGGUUUGGCACCUCGAUGUCGGCUCAUCGCAUCCUGGGGCUGUAGUCGGUCCCAAGGGUUGGGCUGUUCGCCCAUUAAAGCGGUACGCGAGCUGGGUUCAGAACGUCGUGAGACAGUUCGGUCCCUAUCCGUCGCGGGCGUUGGAAAUUUGAGAGGAGCUGUCCUUAGUACGAGAGGACCGGGAUGGACACACCGCUGGUGUACCAGUUGUUCUGCCAAGAGCAUCGCUGGGUAGCUAUGUGUGGACGGGAUAAACGCUGAAAGCAUCUAAGCGUGAAGCCCCCCUCAAGAUGAGAUUUCCCAUCACUUUAAGUGAGUAAGACCCCUGAGAGAUGAUCAGGUAGAUAGGUUGGGAGUGGAAGUACAGCGAUGUAUGGAGCGGACCAAUACUAAUCGGUCGAGGACUUAACC
This 1231-nucleotide ribosomal RNA is filed under the name metagenome. Its description in RNAcentral is "bacterial LSU rRNA". It matches the Rfam family "Bacterial large subunit ribosomal RNA", at positions 1684 to 2925 of the family's 2925-position model. The record is from RNAcentral.